AGUGAACGCUGGCGGCAGGCCUAACACAUGCAAGUCGAGCGGCAGCGGGUCCUUCGGGAUGCCGGCGAGCGGCGGACGGGUGAGGAAUGCAUCGGAAUCUGCCCUGUCGUGGGGGAUAACCUAGGGAAACUUAGGCGAAUACCGCAUACGACCCACGGGUGAAAGCGGGGGAGCGCAAGACCUCGCGCGAUAGGAUGAGCCGGUGUCCGAUUGGCUAGUUGGCGGGGUAAAGGCCCACCAAGGCGACGACCGGUAGCUGGUCUGAGGGGAUGAUCAGCCACACUGGGACUGAGACACGGCCCCGACUCCGACGGCAGGCAGCAGUGGGGAAUAUUGGACAAGGGGCGCAAGCCUGAGCCAGCCAUGCCGCGUGGGUGAAGAAGGCCUUCGGGUUGUAAAGCCCUUUUGUCCGGGAAGAAAACGUCUGGGCUAAUACCGCGGGCGGAUGACGGUACCGGAAGAAUAAGCACCGGCUAACUUCGUG
RNAcentral lists this ribosomal RNA (484 nucleotides) under uncultured bacterium. Its description in RNAcentral is "partial 16S ribosomal RNA". It matches the Rfam family "Bacterial small subunit ribosomal RNA", at positions 30 to 507 of the family's 1533-position model. The record is from RNAcentral.